RNAcentral lists this ribosomal RNA (470 nucleotides) under uncultured bacterium. RNAcentral's name for it is "bacterial SSU rRNA". It matches the Rfam family "Bacterial small subunit ribosomal RNA", at positions 28 to 496 of the family's 1533-position model. The record is from RNAcentral.
GAUGAACGCUGGCGGCGUGCUUAACACAUGCAAGUCGAACGAAGCACUUUAUUUGAUUUCCUUCGGGACUGAUUAUUUUGUGACUGAGUGGCGGACGGGUGAGUAACGCGUGGGUAACCUGCCUUGUACAGGGGGAUAACAGUUGGAAACGGCUGCUAAUACCGCAUAAGCGCACGGCAUCGCAUGAUGCAGUGUGAAAAACUCCGGUGGUAUAAGAUGGACCCGCGUUGGAUUAGCUAGUUGGUGAGGUAACGGCCCACCAAGGCGACGAUCCAUAGCCGACCUGAGAGGGUGACCGGCCACAUUGGGACUGAGACACGGCCCAAACUCCUACGGGAGGCAGCAGUGGGGAAUAUUGCACAAUGGGCGAAAGCCUGAUGCAGCGACGCCGCGUGAGCGAAGAAGUAUUUCGGUAUGUAAAGCUCUAUCAGCAGGGAAGAUAAUGACGGUACCUGACUAAGAAGCACCGG